GACGAACGCUGGCGGCGUGCUUAACGCAUGCGAGUCGAACGGAAAGGCCCUGCCUUUGUGGAGUGCUCGAGUGGCGAACGGGUGAGUAACACGUGAGUAACCUGCCCUUGACUUUGGGAUAACUUCAGGAAACUGGGGCUAAUACCGGAUAGGAGCUCCUGCUGCAUGGUGGGGGUUGGAAAGUUUCGGCGGUUGGGGAUGGACUCGCGGCUUAUCAGCUUGUUGGUGGGGUAGUGGCUUACCAAGGCUUUGACGGGUAGCCGGCCUGAGAGGGUGACCGGCCACAUUGGGACUGAGAUACGGCCCAGACUCCUACGGGAGGCAGCAGUGGGGAAUAUUGCACAAUGGGCGGAAGCCUGAUGCAGCAACGCCGCGUGCGGGAUGACGGCCUUCGGGUUGUAAACCGCUUUCGCCUGUGACGAAGCGUGAGUGACGGUAAUGGGUAAAGAAGCACCGGCUAACUACGUG
RNAcentral lists this ribosomal RNA (468 nucleotides) under uncultured bacterium. RNAcentral's name for it is "partial 16S ribosomal RNA". It matches the Rfam family "Bacterial small subunit ribosomal RNA", at positions 28 to 507 of the family's 1533-position model. The record is from RNAcentral.